UACGUAGGGGGCAAGCGUUGUCCGGAAUUAUUGGGCGUAAAGAGUACGUAGGCGGUCUGUUAAGCGCAAGGUGAAAGGCAUAGGCUCAACCAAUGUGAGCCUUGCGAACUGUCAGACUUGAGUGCAGGAGAGGAAAGCGGAAUUCCUAGUGUAGCGGUGAAAUGCGUAGAUAUUAGGAGGGACACCGGUGGCGAAGGCGGCUUUCUGGACUGAAACUGACGCUGAGGUACGAAAGCGUGGGGAGCAAACAGG
This 252-nucleotide ribosomal RNA is filed under the name uncultured bacterium. Its description in RNAcentral is "partial 16S ribosomal RNA". It matches the Rfam family "Bacterial small subunit ribosomal RNA", at positions 524 to 776 of the family's 1533-position model. The record is from RNAcentral.